This 496-nucleotide ribosomal RNA is filed under the name uncultured bacterium. Its description in RNAcentral is "SSU rRNA". It matches the Rfam family "Bacterial small subunit ribosomal RNA", at positions 26 to 518 of the family's 1533-position model. The record is from RNAcentral.
AGAUUGAACGCUGGCGGCGUGCUUAACACAUGCAAGUCGAGCGGUAACGCGGGAGCAAUCCUGGCGACGAGCGGCGAACGGGUGAGUAAUGCUUGGGAAUCUGCCCAUUAGUGGGGAACAACCAGCCGAAAGGUUGGCUAAUACCGCAUACGCCCUACGGGGGAAAGCGGGGGAUCGAAAGACCUCGCGCUAAUGGAUGAGCCCAAGUCGGAUUAGCUUGUUGGUAGGGUAACGGCCUACCAAGGCGACAAUCCGUAGCUGGUCUGAGAGGACGACCAGCCACACUGGGACUGAGACACGGCCCAGACUCCUACGGGAGGCAGCAGUGGGGGAAUAUUGGACAAUGGGGGCAACCCUGAUCCAGCGACGCCGCGUGUGUGAAGAAGGCCUGCGGGUUGUAAAGCACUUUUAGUGGGAUGAAAAGCUCAGGGUUAACACCUCUGGGUCUUGACCUAACCCACAGAAAAGCACCGGCUAACUCUGCGCCAGCAGCCGC